CACCUGUACCCAUGCCGAACACAGAAGUUAAGCCCUAGAACGCCGGAAGUAGUUGGGGGUUGCCCCCUGUGAGAUAAGGUAGUCGCUUAGC
RNAcentral lists this ribosomal RNA (91 nucleotides) under Streptococcus anginosus. Lineage: Bacteria; Bacillati; Bacillota; Bacilli; Lactobacillales; Streptococcaceae. The record is from RNAcentral.